UACGUAGGGAGCGAGCGUUGUCCGGAUUCAUUGGGCGUAAAGAGCUCGUAGGCGGCUUGCUUAGUCGGAUGUGAAACCUCCAGGCUCAACCUGGAGUCGCCAUCCGAUACUGUCAUGGCUAGAGUCCGGUAGGGGCCCACGGAAUUCCUGGUGUAGCGGUGAAAUGCGCAGAUAUCAGGAGGAACACCGGUGGCGACGGCGGUGGGCUGGGCCGGCACUUACGCUGAGGAGCGAAAGCGUGGGGAGCGAACAGG
This 254-nucleotide ribosomal RNA is filed under the name uncultured bacterium. RNAcentral describes it as "partial 16S ribosomal RNA". It matches the Rfam family "Bacterial small subunit ribosomal RNA", at positions 524 to 776 of the family's 1533-position model. The record is from RNAcentral.